ACCCGCUGAACUUAAGCAUAUCAAUAAGCGGAGGAAAAGAAACCAACAGGGAUUGCCUCAGUAACGGCGAGUGAAGCGGCAAAAGCUCAAAUUUUAAAUCUGGCGUCUUUGGGCGUCCGAGUUGUAAUUUGGAGAGGCAUCUUCGGUUUGGGCUCCAGUCUAACGCCCUUGGAACAGGGGGUCACAGAGGGUGAGAAUCCCGUGUCCGGCUGGCAGCUUCUUUCCAUGUGAAGUGUCUUCUACGAGUCGAGUUGUUUGGGAAAUGCAGCUCAAAAAUGGGUGGUAAAUUUCAUCUAAAGCUNAAUACUGGCGAGAGACCGAUAGCGCACAAGUAGAGUGAUCGAAAGAUGAAAAGCACUUUGAAAAUAGAGUUAAAAAGUACGUGAAAUUGUUGAAAGGGAAGCGCUUGAGACCAGACUGGGUCGGGUUUGUUCGGUUUCCCUUCUGGGGUUCCUAUUCACUUCCCGUGCCCGGCCAGCAUCGGUUGGGGUGGCGGGAUAAAGGCUUGGGGAAUGUGGCUCCUUUCGGGGAGUGUUAUAGCCCCGGGUGCAAUGCCGCCCACCUCGACCGAGGACCGCGCUUCGGCUAGGAUGCUGGCGUAAUGGUCUU
This 609-nucleotide ribosomal RNA is filed under the name uncultured fungus. RNAcentral describes it as "eukaryotic LSU rRNA". It matches the Rfam family "Eukaryotic large subunit ribosomal RNA", at positions 23 to 641 of the family's 3401-position model. The record is from RNAcentral. Lineage: Eukaryota; Fungi.